CUUUUUCCCCCGGGGAAAAAAUAGCAUAUCAAUAAGCGGAGGAAAAGAAACCAACAGGGAUUGCCCCAGUAACGGCGAGUGAAGCGGCAACAGCUCAAAUUUGAAAUCUGGCCCUCGGGUCCGAGUUGUAAUUUGUAGAGGAUGCUUUUGGUGCGGUGCCUUCCGAGUUCCCUGGAACGGGACGCCAUAGAGGGUGAGAGCCCCGUCUGGUUGGACGUCAAGCCUCUGUAAAGCUCCUUCGACGAGUCGAGUAGUUUGGGAAUGCUGCUCUAAAUGGGAGGUAUAUGUCUUCUAAAGCUAAAUAUCGGCCAGAGACCGAUAGCGCACAAGUAGAGUGAUCGAAAGAUGAAAAGCACUUUGAAAAGAGGGUUAAAUAGUACGUGAAAUUGUUGAAAGGGAAGCGCUUGUGACCAGACUUGAGCCCCGGUUAAUCAUCCAGCCUUCUGGCUGGUGCACUUGGCCGGCUCAGGCCAGCAUCGGUUCGGCGCGGGGGAUAAAGGCAUCGGGAAUGUGGCUCCCCCGGGAGUGUUAUAGCCCGUUGUGUAAUACCCUGUACUGGACUGAGGUUCGCGCAUCUGCAAGGAUGCUGGCGUAAUGGUCAUCAGCGACCCGUCUUGAAACACGGACCAAGGAGUCGUCUUCGUAUGCGAGUGUUCGGGUGUCAAACCCCUACGCGUAAUGAAAGUAAACGCAGGUGAGAGCUUCGGCGCAUCAUCGACCGAUCCUGAUGUUCUCGGAUGGAUUUGAGUAAGAGCAUACGGGGCCGGACCCGAAAGAAGGUGAACUAUGCCUGUAUAGGGUGAAGCCAGAGGAAACUCUGGUGGAGGCUCGCAGCGGUUCUGACGUGCAAAUCGAUCGUCAAAUAUGGGCAUGGGGGCGAAAGACUAAUCGAACUUUUU
RNAcentral lists this ribosomal RNA (899 nucleotides) under Pseudocosmospora hypoxylicola. RNAcentral's name for it is "Pseudocosmospora sp. CL-2019a partial large subunit ribosomal RNA". It matches the Rfam family "Eukaryotic large subunit ribosomal RNA", at positions 24 to 945 of the family's 3401-position model. The record is from RNAcentral. Lineage: Eukaryota; Fungi; Ascomycota; Sordariomycetes; Hypocreales; Nectriaceae.